GGGGAUGUAGCUCAGUAGAAUGUAUGCUUAGCAUGCAUAAAGCCCUGGGUUUAAUCCCUAGCACUCCCA
This 69-nucleotide transfer RNA is filed under the name Fukomys damarensis (Damara mole-rat). It matches the Rfam family "tRNA". From Rfam's summary of the family: Transfer RNA (tRNA) molecules are approximately 80 nucleotides in length. Their secondary structure includes four short double-helical elements and three loops (D, anti-codon, and T loops). Further hydrogen bonds mediate the characteristic L-shaped molecular structure. tRNAs have two regions of fundamental functional importance: the anti-codon, which is responsible for specific mRNA codon recognition, and the 3' end, to which the tRNAs corresponding amino acid is attached (by aminoacyl-tRNA synthetases). tRNAs cope with the degeneracy of the genetic code in two manners: having more than one tRNA (with a specific anti-codon) for a particular amino acid; and 'wobble' base-pairing, i.e. permitting non-standard base-pairing at the 3rd anti-codon position. Lineage: Eukaryota; Metazoa; Chordata; Mammalia; Rodentia; Bathyergidae. The record is from Rfam by way of RNAcentral.